This is a long non-coding RNA of Grus americana (Whooping crane), 1210 nucleotides long. RefSeq lists it as uncharacterized. The record is from RefSeq and is a predicted model, not a curated record. Lineage: Eukaryota; Metazoa; Chordata; Aves; Gruiformes; Gruidae. The transcript is spliced from 3 exons.
CCGAGAACGGAGUUUGUCCUCUUACCUCGGUCCUUCCCGUUCUGCAUUUUUUCUGUUUCUUCGUCAUCUUCUUCCUCCGCUUCAAAAAAAAAAGAAAAAAAGAAAGCAGACAUGAGCCGAGGCGAUCGACUGAGCUCUUCAGCAGAUGUGCACAGCCACCAACCGCUAUGUUAGAGCAGCCUUCACCAAGUUCUGCUGCAAAAUUUCAGCUUCCUUUCUGUCUCAUUACCAGCAGAGAGCCAAACCCGCCCCAUCUCUGUCGUGCCGCUCCAAGAUCCUCACGAGCAGCUUCUGCAUCGCGGGUGCCGGUGCCUUGCUAGAGAAAACUUCCGGAGCUGCCCUACGGCUCUCCACGGACGGCGAGUGAUGGUCCCAAGGGUCGUUUAGGUGCUGCCUAUGGACUCAAAGUCUGCCGAAUUUCAUAGCGAAUCACAAACAAAUAAAAAAUAUUUUUUUCUCUGUGGUUUGAAGGUUCAGAGAAAACUGUUUUAAUAUUCACUCGGGCAAAACUCCCGCUGGCUUCAAAGACGACGCUGCCCAGCAAAGCGUCCGGAGCACAACGGAGGUUAGGCACUGGAGCGAUGAGCAGGGAAAGGAGAGGCACCGACGAACGUGCGCGGGGCAGAUCAAUCGAGGAGACUACGGACGUGCGCUUAUUGGCUCCGUGUUUUCAAAAAAAUCAUCCCACUUCAGUACUCGGCACGCGGUGCCAGCAGCAGAGCGAGCAAGGCGGCGUUCAUCACGCGAUGCACCUCGCCGUGGCUGAGGACGUCUGCAGGGAGCCCGGGUGCUCAGGGCAGGGGGGCUGCACAGCCCGGCCGGGCCCCUCGUCCCCGGGAGCCGCUCGCUCCCCCGCGUCCAUCCUCGCCGCCCGGGAGCGAAGACGUCACCCUUCCCCGAGCAUCGGCCAUUAUUUACGAGUGCUCUGAAUGGGCACAGGGCUACUUCCUUGUUCAUAAUCUGGUUAUUCUCUGCAGCCACUCGUGCCUUUCAACAGCCUCUGAGCCCUCUGGCUCAAUUACAGAGUUAUUAGUGAUUAGAACCCUUUGCCAGCAAGGGUUUAUGAUCUGCGACUGUAUAUAUAUAUGUAAGCACGGUCCCUGUGCUGCCCUUGAUUAAAGGAAAGCUACUUAUAAAUAAUUGCACACUGAGGGCAUUAAAACCGUACAACCCCUCCGAGCAAAUACCUGGUUUGUUUGUGCCAUUUGCU